AGUGAACGCUGGCGGUAGGCCUAACACAUGCAAGUCGAACGGCAGCACAGUAAGAGCUUGCUCUUACGGGUGGCGAGUGGCGGACGGGGGAGGUAUACAGCGGAAUCUACUUUUUCGUGGGGGAUAACGUAGGGAAACUUACGCUAAUACCGCAUACGACCUACGGGUGAAAGCAGGGGAUCUUCGGACCUUGGGCGAACGAAUGAGCCGAUGUCGGAUUAGCUAGUUGGCGGGGUAAAGGCCCACCAAGGCGGCGAUCCGUAGCUGGUCUGAGAGGAUGAUCAGCCACACUGGAACUGAGACACGGUCCAGACUCCUACGGGAGGCAGCAGUGGGGAAUAUUGGACAAUGGGCGCAAGCCUGAUCCAGCCAUACCGCGUGGGUGAAGAAGGCCUUCGGGUUGUAAAGCCCUUUUGUUGGGAAAGAAAAGCAGCAGGUUAAUACCCCGCUGUUCUGACGGUACCCAAAGAAUAAGCACCGGCUAACUUCGUG
This 492-nucleotide ribosomal RNA is filed under the name uncultured bacterium. RNAcentral's name for it is "partial 16S ribosomal RNA". It matches the Rfam family "Bacterial small subunit ribosomal RNA", at positions 29 to 507 of the family's 1533-position model. The record is from RNAcentral.